Molecule: ribosomal RNA, 372 nt
Filed under: uncultured organism
Description: bacterial SSU rRNA
Rfam family: Bacterial small subunit ribosomal RNA
Source: RNAcentral
CGGGGGGGGCAAGCGUUGUUCGGAAUUACUGGGCGUAAAGGGUGCGUAGGCGGCUCUCUAAGUCGGAUGUGAAAACUCUGGGCUCAACCCAGAGCCUGCAUCUGAAACUGGAGGGCUAGGGUUUUGGAGGGGAAAGCGGAAUUCCAGGUGUAGCGGUGAAAUGCGUAGAUAUCUGGAGGAACACCGGUGGCGAAGGCGGCUUUCUGGACAAAUACCGACGCUGAGGCACGAAAGCUAGGGGAGCAAACAGGAUUAGAUACCCUGGUAGUCCUAGCCCUAAACUAUGGAUACUUGCUGUGGGGGGGAUUGAAGCCCCUUGUGGCGAAGCUAACGCAUUAAGUAUCCCGCCUGGGGAGUACGGUCGCAAGGCUG